This 1045-nucleotide long non-coding RNA is filed under the name Oryctolagus cuniculus (rabbit). RNAcentral's name for it is "lncRNA (ENSOCUG00000031364.1)". Lineage: Eukaryota; Metazoa; Chordata; Mammalia; Lagomorpha; Leporidae. The record is from RNAcentral.
GCAGUCAGCUUAGCUCCCUAGCAUGCCAGAAACAAAGGGCUGUGCUGGUAGAACAGCCCUGACAGACUCUAGCUGUUGCUCUUCCAAGUCAUCUAUAGGACCAUCAGCAUAUUAGAAAAAAAAAUACAACUCUAAGACCUUUCUCUGUGUCUGUGAUGAUGAAGCAUGGCAUUAGUGUUCCUCAGCCUGUCUAAUCAACUUGAAAAUCCUGUUUCCAGCAUCCUGUAAGUCUGUUUGUGAAUAUGCCUCUGUUAGACAUCCCUUGGCAGUCUUGGAAUCCUUCUGGAAGAAGCCCACAGCAUUUUCUGCUAUAGCAGUGUCUCAGAAGCAAAGCAGGUCUUAACAUAUGCUCUCAUGUUGUCUUCAAAUUUAAUCACAUAAACGGAACUAUGAAUACAACUUUUAAGUAAAGCUCUGCAUAGGUGUAAGGUGAACCCUAUGCUAUAAGUGAACAUUGUGGAAAAAGGAAAAGAUUACUUAAGAAUACUAUUCCUUAUGUAAUAUAAAGAAAAUAAGGCCAAAAACAAUGUUGGCCUAAAAUCCCAGAAUAUUCAUAGUGUUGGAUUUCGAUUUCUGAAGACUAAGCCUUUCACAGAUUACCUUAUGGAAAUGUUUGGCCAACUGCCAUAUUUAAUAAUCAUUCUUUAGCAUUAAUGCUUAAACAUUUGGCAAGAACCUUUUUAUGUCUCAUAAAAAUAUUUUAGCACAUUUUCUCUCCUACUACCUGAAGUGAUAUCCUCUAAAACUCUUAUAGUUCUGAAAAAGACAGUUUACUAAACAGUUAUGUAUUGUCUGCAAAACAGGAAAAUUUGAUUAAAUAGAAAGCCAUGUUUUUCAAAAAAUUUUCUCUUACAAAAGCAUAUCCUUUUGUUUCAUAGGCAUUUGCUCAGUUGUCCAAUCUGACUCCCCUAUUUUCUUUCAAAAGACCUCUAACCUAUAAACUUACAAGGGUCUGAUUAUCUUUUCAAAAGCAGAUAUAAUUUCAAGACUCCUAUUUUUAACCAGUGACAAAGUCAAUGAGAAAUUUGAAAUGUAUUAAUCUCCC